This 315-nucleotide unclassified non-coding RNA is filed under the name plant metagenome. RNAcentral describes it as "partial contains 5.8S ribosomal RNA, internal transcribed spacer 2, and large subunit ribosomal RNA". The stretch from base 1 to 105 matches the Rfam family "5.8S ribosomal RNA", at positions 50 to 154 of the family's 154-position model. The record is from RNAcentral.
GAACUGCGAUAAGUAAUGUGAAUUGCAGAAUUCAGUGAAUCAUCGAGUCUUUGAACGCACAUUGCGCCCCCUGGCAUUCCGGGGGGCAUGCCUGUCCGAGCGUCAUUGCUGCCCUUCAAGCCCGGCUUGUGUGUUGGGUCGUCGUCCCCUCCGGGGGACGGGCCCGAAAGGCAGCGGCGGCACCGCGUCCGGUCCUCGAGCGUAUGGGGCUUUGUCACCCGCUCGAUAAGGACCGGCCGGGCGCCAGCCGGCGUCUCCAACCUUUUUUUCUCAGGUUGACCUCGGAUCAGGUAGGGGUACCCGCUGAACUUAAGC